This 207-nucleotide long non-coding RNA is filed under the name Elaeis guineensis (African oil palm). RNAcentral's name for it is "long non-coding RNA (EGUI_LNC066866)". The record is from RNAcentral. Lineage: Eukaryota; Viridiplantae; Streptophyta; Magnoliopsida; Arecales; Arecaceae.
GAAGGAUGCCUAAUCUUAAACAUCUUUAGAUUUGGAACUAUCUUGCUUAUGUAAGAAAUAUCUUUGGACAUAAGCUAAGUGCGAGAUUAGAUAAGUACAAGUUUGUAGAGUACUCUAAGAAAACUAAUAGAUACUACUUCUACCAUCUCAUUGAACAAAAAGUAUUUGUUAAUAGGCACAUCAUUUUUUUAAAAAAUAAAUUCAUCU